Molecule: long non-coding RNA, 1007 nt
Organism: Drosophila pseudoobscura
Lineage: Eukaryota; Metazoa; Arthropoda; Insecta; Diptera; Drosophilidae
Exons: 3
Source: RefSeq, a predicted model, not a curated record
ACUCGAAAUUUUUUAGUUAAUGCUUUUAACUGUGAAAAAAGUGUGUGUGUAAUGGCGACUGAAGCGACCUGAAACGCUAAUUUUGCCUCAUUCGGUGGUACGUUCUGUUGGGAUCUGUUGGAUUUUGUAUUUUUUUCAAAGAAAAGGCAAUGGAAAACAAAAAUACCGCCCGUAAUGGUGCCAUUAUAAUAACAAGUCAGUAUAUGGAGAGCUCAUUUGCCACGGAGGAAACUGAUCCACUGCUUUGGAAAAAAGUCAACGAAAAUUAAUUCGAUUUAGUCAAAAACUGUAUGUUCAAAUAUUAAUGCGUAUCUGUUACACUUGGCUUGUUUCCCAGAGGGCAACGCCGGCUAGCUGUAGACCCCAAGGCUGGGUAGUUCCCCUCGCCCGCCAAAUGUAGACAAAGAUGGAGACAUACUACUCCUCGGGACAUCAAAACUAACAACAACCAAAAUACAAAGAAAAUCAUAAACAGACGGUUAUCAAGUUGGUGAAGCUUGGGUGUUAUCACUUCGCGCGCCCGCCCUACCUGUGAUCAACCACAACAUUCAUUUGGCCACCCUCUGCUGGAACGGCUGCGGCUGGUCCAAUCCAUGGCUUACGCCACGCGUCCUCCCUCUAUUAAACACCAAAACGUUCGACACAAAGGCAAACAAGGAAAUAACAGCUGAAAUUUCGUUCAACCAUACGUAAUGGAACAUGUGUAGAUGACUGGAUCCAGUUUUACGGGAGUUAAUUAAACUCGGGCCCAUACGGAGACUAACCUACCAAAAGCUCUUGUUAAGGGUCCCCGGGACAUAAACAAUAAGGAGAUUUCCACAAAUCGCUCGACCAUAUACGGUGGACCGACGGGACCCCCGCGUCACCCACUAAGGGUUAAUCUGCUGGAACUGAACAGCUGAUUGCAGAUUUCGGUUCGUGAAAGGUGUUGGUGUUUUUACAUGUUUAGUUCAAUGGCCAAGAUUUUAUGUUAAACUGUUUAAGCUAAUAAUAAAUACUAAAUACUA